This 326-nucleotide ribosomal RNA is filed under the name uncultured eukaryote. Its description in RNAcentral is "partial 18S ribosomal RNA". It matches the Rfam family "Eukaryotic small subunit ribosomal RNA", at positions 1470 to 1796 of the family's 1831-position model. The record is from RNAcentral.
CCCUUAGAUGUUCUGGGCUGCACGCGCGCUACACUGAAGCGUUCAACGAGUAUUCACCUUGCCCGGGAGGGUUGGGUAAUCUUUUGAAAACGCUUCGUGAUGGGGAUAGAUUAUUGCAAUUAUUAAUCUUCAACGAGGAAUUCCUAGUAAGCGCGAGUCAUCAGCUCGUACUGAUUACGUCCCUGCCCUUUGUACACACCGUCCGUCGCUACUACCGACUGGUAAGAUAUCUAAGGAGCAUGGACGUCGGCAGACGCGGUUCGCGCCGUGUCUGCGGGCAGAAGCGCCCCGCAGAUUUCUUGCUGGAGGAAGUAAAAGUCGUAACA